RNAcentral lists this small RNA (106 nucleotides) under Jaculus jaculus (lesser Egyptian jerboa). RNAcentral describes it as "7SK RNA (ENSJJAG00000004336.1)". It matches the Rfam family "7SK RNA", at positions 2 to 107 of the family's 331-position model. Rfam says of the family: 7SK was discovered as an abundant small nuclear RNA in the mid-70s but a possible function has only recently been suggested. Two independent studies have found that 7SK RNA binds the CDK9/cyclin T complex (known as elongation factor P-TEFb). P-TEFb activates transcription by phosphorylating the C-terminal domain of RNA polymerase II. The record is from Rfam by way of RNAcentral. Lineage: Eukaryota; Metazoa; Chordata; Mammalia; Rodentia; Dipodidae.
GACGUGAGGGCAAUCUGGCUGCAACAUCUGUCACCCCAUUGAUUGCCAGGGUUGAUUUGGCUGAUCUGGCCUACUAGGUGGGUGUCCUCUUCCUCCCUCACCACUC